AAGCAAUGGUGCAGAUAAGAGUCAGAAGAUGGCCAUGUUAUAGGCAUUCUUAACUCUUGUGGAAGGAACAUUCUACAGGAAGUUUGGCCACAGGCUGAAAAGAUGCUUUCUCCAGCUGCCAGUAGUCUAUCUCUUGCUUUUGAGAGCGCCAUUUUUCUGAAGGAUCAUUGCUGUUGUGUACUGUCUCGGCUGCAGAGGGGAGAGAAAUGUGCCACUACGAAGGAACUGAUUGCAGUGGGAAAUGCACAAGAACCAUAACUCAGAAUAUUCAUCAACUUUGCAGAUUCCUGGAGCCUGUUCAUGAACUUGACGUCAGGAAAGCUGCAAAUGUUUCAACGGUGCAACUAGCAUCUCCGUCCCAGAGGCUAACGCAGAUAAGAAGGUAAAAAAACGCACUCGUGAUGAAAUGUUCUCUGAGCUCAUGCAGUCCUCGCAAACUGAAAGAGCCCAGCAGAAUGUUUGGAGGCAGACAAUGGCAGAGUCCAGGAAAGCACAAAAUGAACGUGAGGACAGAUCGCUAGAGCAACAGGAGAGGUGGCGGCAGCAUGAUGAAAGGAGGCAAGAUGCAAUGCUGAGGCUACUGGAGGAUCAAACUGAUAUGCUCCAGCAUAUGGUUGAGGUGCAGGAAAGGCACAGACUGCCACUGCAGCCCCUGUGUAAUCAAUCACCCUCCUCCCCAAGUUCCAUAGCCUCCUCACCCAGACGCCCAAGAACGUGGGGGUGCACUCCGGGCACCCAGCCACUCCGCCCCAGAGGACUGCCCAACUAACAGAAGGGUGUCAUUCAAUAAGUUUUGAAGUGCAGUGUGGCCUUGUCCUUCCCUCCUCCCCAACCCCACCUGGUGCUUUCCUCCUCUCCCACCCCUCCCAGGCUAC
Long non-coding RNA from Caretta caretta (loggerhead turtle), 875 nucleotides. RefSeq lists it as uncharacterized. The record is from RefSeq and is a predicted model, not a curated record. NCBI's taxonomy places the organism in Eukaryota, Metazoa, Chordata, Testudines, Cheloniidae.